CACAUACCUCGUCUCUUUCGAUACGUGUAUACAUCCGCGGGGAUAGGAACCGAUGACGAGCAUCUUAUUUUGUGACUCAUAUUUCCACGGUGGAUCGCUGCUGCGACGCAGUAAAAGGAGGGAACUCAGCUAAAUGUCCUGCCGUUGUUUACGGAGAUACGAAAAUCUUAAUGUCAAGGAUAAUGCUGUAGAACUCCAAGGAAAGAUAUGUGUAUUAUUCAGGACUGCUAUGUAAGAUACGGCUGCGUAAAGACAUUCCGUUUUUUAUUGCAAAUGAAAAGACAAACUAAAGAAAAUGAUAAUAUCAACCGUACAAAUGCUAGAAAUAAUUGUUGACAAAAGUAACGGAAUUAAGGUUCUUAUGACUGGUAAUAUUGAACGCUAUCCCCACCACUGGCUAGUAUCCCCCACCGAAAGAAACUAGCGAAGUGGACGCGUUUAAAUAAAUACAUUUGGCGCCAAGUAUGUAAUUCAAAUUAACUUAUUAGUCUGAUGCGAAUCAAAUCAUUGACAAACAUA
This is a long non-coding RNA of Bombus huntii, 519 nucleotides long. RefSeq lists it as uncharacterized. The transcript is spliced from 2 exons. Lineage: Eukaryota; Metazoa; Arthropoda; Insecta; Hymenoptera; Apidae. The record is from RefSeq and is a predicted model, not a curated record.